Molecule: transfer RNA, 77 nt
Filed under: Pseudomonas fluorescens
Lineage: Bacteria; Pseudomonadati; Pseudomonadota; Gammaproteobacteria; Pseudomonadales; Pseudomonadaceae
Also listed under: 21 other names
Description: tRNA-Arg
Rfam family: tRNA
About the family: Transfer RNA (tRNA) molecules are approximately 80 nucleotides in length. Their secondary structure includes four short double-helical elements and three loops (D, anti-codon, and T loops).
Source: RNAcentral
GUCUCAGUAGCUCAAUUGGAUAGAGCAUCCCCCUCCUAAGGGGAAGGUUGCAGGUUCGAACCCUGCCUGGGACACCA